UGUUGCAGGGCUUUAUAGAAGAGCUGUCUGGGAGGGGCCAAUGGUUUAGUAGGUGUUGCAGGGCUUUAUAGAAGAGCUGUCUGGGAGGGACCAGUGGUUUAGUAGGUGUGUCUGUGUUGCAGGGCUUUAUAGAAGAGCUGUCUGGGAGGGGCCAAUGGUUUAGUAGGUGUGGCUGUGUUGCAGGGCUUUAUAGAAGGGCUGCCUGGGAGGGACCAGUGGUUUAGUAGAUGUGGCUGUGUUGCAGGGCUUUAUAGAAGAGGUGUCUGGGAGGGGCCAAUGGUUUAGUAGGUAUGGCUGUGUUGCAGGGCUUUAUAGAAGGGCUGCCUGGGAGGGACCAGUGGUUUAGUAGGUGUGGCUGUGUUGCAGGGCUUUAUAGAAGGGCUGCCUGGGAGGGACCAGUGGUUUAGUAGGUGUGGCUGUGUUGCAGGGCUUUAUAGAAGGGCUGCCUGGGAGGGACCAGUGGUUUAGUAGGUGUGGCUGUGUUGCAGGGCUUUAUAGAAGGGCUGCCUGGGAGGGACCAGUGGUUUAGUAGGUGUGGCUGUGUUGCAGGGCUUUAUAGAAGGGCUGCCUGGGAGGGACCAGUGGUUUAGUAGGUGUGGCUGUGUUGCAGGGCUUUAUAGAAGGGCUGCCUGGGAGGGACCAGUGGUUUAGUAGGUGUGGCUGUGUUGCAGGGCUUUAUAGAAGGGCUGCCUGGGAGGGACCAGUGGUUUAGUAGGUGUGGCUGUGUUGCAGGGCUUUAUAGAAGGGCUGCCUGGGAGGGACCAGUGGUUUAGUAGGUGUGGCUGUGUUGCAGGGCUUUAUAGAAGGGCUGCCUGGGAGGGACCAGUGGUUUAGUAGGUGUGGCUGUGUUGCAGGGUCUUCUAGAGUUGCUGGCUGAGGGCUCCUAUCACCAAGACUACACAUCACUCUAAAACAGAACGUGCCGCCUAGGAUAAUAAAGUUGAAACUUGAACACACACACACACAGUCCUUCCACAUGUCUGUGAGUGUGCCAGCUGUGUGCUAUGGCUGGCUAGCUGACUGUGGA
Molecule: long non-coding RNA, 1027 nt
Organism: Oncorhynchus keta (chum salmon)
Lineage: Eukaryota; Metazoa; Chordata; Actinopteri; Salmoniformes; Salmonidae
Exons: 3
Source: RefSeq, a predicted model, not a curated record